UACGGGGGGGGCAAGCGUUGUUCGGAAUUACUGGGCGUAAAGGGCGCGUAGGCGGCUAACUAAGUCGGACGUGAAAUCCCUCGGCUUAACCGGGGAACUGCGUCCGAUACUGGCUGGCUUGAGUUUGGGAGAGGGAUGCGGAAUUCCCGGUGUAGCGGUGAAAUGCGCAGAUAUCGGGAGGAACACCGGUGGCGAAGGCGGUUCUCUGGGCCUUACCUGACGCUGAGGAGCGAAAGCGUGGGGAGCGAACAGG
This 253-nucleotide ribosomal RNA is filed under the name uncultured bacterium. RNAcentral describes it as "partial 16S ribosomal RNA". It matches the Rfam family "Bacterial small subunit ribosomal RNA", at positions 524 to 776 of the family's 1533-position model. The record is from RNAcentral.